Molecule: ribosomal RNA, 222 nt
Filed under: Pseudocyphellaria maculata
Lineage: Eukaryota; Fungi; Ascomycota; Lecanoromycetes; Peltigerales; Lobariaceae
Description: partial 26S ribosomal RNA
Rfam family: Eukaryotic large subunit ribosomal RNA
Source: RNAcentral
UUGACCUCGGAUCAGGUAGGGAUACCCGCUGAACUUAAGCAUAUCAAUAAGCGGAGGAAAAGAAACCAACAGGGAUUGCCUCAGUAACGGCGAGUGAAGCGGCAACAGCUCAAAUUUGAAAUCUGACCCCCUCGGGGCCCGAGUUGUAAUUUGUAGAGGGUGUUUCGGGCGCGGCGCCGGUCUAAGUUCCUUGGAACAGGACGUCACAGAGGGUGAGAAUCC